UACGAAGGGGGCAAGCGUUGUUCGAAAUUACUGGGCGUAAAGGGCGCGUAGGCGGCUUACCAAGUCAGGCGUGAAAUUCCCGGGCUCAACCUGGGGGCUGCGCUUGAUACUGGUGAGCUUGAAUGCGGGAGAGGAUAGUGGAAUUCCCAGUGUAGAGGUGAAAUUCGUAGAUAUUGGGAAGAACACCGGUGGCGAAGGCGGCUAUCUGGCCCGUAAUUGACGCUGAGGCGCGAAAGCGUGGGGAGCAAACAGG
RNAcentral lists this ribosomal RNA (253 nucleotides) under uncultured bacterium. Its description in RNAcentral is "partial 16S ribosomal RNA". It matches the Rfam family "Bacterial small subunit ribosomal RNA", at positions 524 to 776 of the family's 1533-position model. The record is from RNAcentral.